RNAcentral lists this ribosomal RNA (636 nucleotides) under uncultured Marinobacter sp. RNAcentral's name for it is "bacterial SSU rRNA". It matches the Rfam family "Bacterial small subunit ribosomal RNA", at positions 870 to 1504 of the family's 1533-position model. The record is from RNAcentral. Lineage: Bacteria; Pseudomonadati; Pseudomonadota; Gammaproteobacteria; Pseudomonadales; Marinobacteraceae.
CGCCUGGGGAGUACGGCCGCAAGGUUAAAACUCAAAUGAAUUGACGGGGGCCCGCACAAGCGGUGGAGCAUGUGGUUUAAUUCGACGCAACGCGAAGAACCUUACCUGGCCUUGACAUCCAGAGAGCUUUCCAGAGAUGGAUUGGUGCCUUCGGGAACUCUGAGACAGGUGCUGCAUGGCCGUCGUCAGCUCGUGUCGUGAGAUGUUGGGUUAAGUCCCGUAACGAGCGCAACCCCUAUCCCUGGUUGCUAGCAGGUAAUGCUGAGAACUCCAGGGAGACUGCCGGUGACAAACCGGAGGAAGGUGGGGAUGACGUCAGGUCAUCAUGGCCCUUACGGCCAGGGCUACACACGUGCUACAAUGGCGCGUACAGAGGGCUGCCAACUCGCGAGAGUGAGCCAAUCCCUUAAAACGCGUCGUAGUCCAGAUCGGAGUCUGCAACUCGACUCCGUGAAGUCGGAAUCGCUAGUAAUCGCGAAUCGGAAUGUCGCGGUGAAUACGUUCCCGGGCCUUGUACACACCGCCCGUCACACCAUGGGAGUGGAUUGCACCAGAAGUAGUUAGUCUAACCUUCGGGAGGACGAUUACCACGGUGUGGUUCAUGACUGGGGGUGAAGUCGUAACAAGGUAACCGUA